AAGGAAUUAAUUCAACAGGUAGAAUGACCAUCUUACACAUGGCUUGUUAAGCGUUCGAGUCGCUUAUUUCUUA
This 73-nucleotide transfer RNA is filed under the name Gomphillus americanus. RNAcentral's name for it is "tRNA-Val". Lineage: Eukaryota; Fungi; Ascomycota; Lecanoromycetes; Ostropales; Graphidaceae. The record is from RNAcentral.